GACGAACGCUGGCGGCGUGCCUAACACAUGCAAGUCGAGCGAGAAGCUUAAGAUAGAUUCCUUCGGGAUGAAGUUUUGAGUGGAAAGCGGCGGACGGGUGAGUAACGCGUGAGUAACCUGCCCUUCAUUACGGGAUAGCACACCGAAAGGUGUAUUAAUACCGUAUGACAUAUAUUUAUCGCAUGAUAGAUAUAUUAAAGAUUUAUUGAUGAAGGAUGGACUCGCGUCUGAUUAGAUAGUUGGUGAGGUAACGGCUCACCAAGUCGACGAUCAGUAGCCGAACUGAGAGGUUGAUCGGCCACAUUGGGACUGAGACACGGCCCAGACUCCUACGGGAGGCAGCAGUGGGGAAUAUUGCGCAAUGGGGGAAACCCUGACGCAGCAACGCCGCGUGAAGGAUGAAGGUCUUCGGAUUGUAAACUUUGUCCUAUGGGAGAAGAAAGUGACGGUACCAUAGGAGGAAGCCACGGCUAACUACGUGCCAGCAGCCG
RNAcentral lists this ribosomal RNA (491 nucleotides) under uncultured bacterium. RNAcentral's name for it is "bacterial SSU rRNA". It matches the Rfam family "Bacterial small subunit ribosomal RNA", at positions 28 to 517 of the family's 1533-position model. The record is from RNAcentral.